GCAGACAUAUUCCAGCCAAUCAGCAGCAGACCCUCCCUCCCAGACCCUCCCACCUCCUUGACAGCUCACUAAGAAUGCAGCUUCACAAUGAAUGUAAAAUGGAUGCUGUCCAGGUGGUGGGAGGGUCUGGGAGGGAGGGUCUGCUGCUGAUUGGCUGGAAUGUGUCUG
This is a non-coding RNA of Pelobates cultripes (western spadefoot toad), 168 nucleotides long. Lineage: Eukaryota; Metazoa; Chordata; Amphibia; Anura; Pelobatidae. The record is from the annotation of a GenBank genome assembly.